UCCUACGGGAGGCAGCAGUGGGGAAUAUUGCACAAUGGGCGCAAGCCAGAUGCAGCCAUGCCGCGUGUAUGAAGAAGGCCUUCGGGUUGUAAAGUACUUUCAGCGGGGAGGAAGGGAGUAAAGUUAAUACCUAUGAUCAAUGACGU
Molecule: ribosomal RNA, 146 nt
Filed under: uncultured Shigella sp.
Lineage: Bacteria; Pseudomonadati; Pseudomonadota; Gammaproteobacteria; Enterobacterales; Enterobacteriaceae
Description: partial 16S ribosomal RNA
Rfam family: Bacterial small subunit ribosomal RNA
Source: RNAcentral